RNAcentral lists this ribosomal RNA (465 nucleotides) under uncultured bacterium. Its description in RNAcentral is "partial 16S ribosomal RNA". It matches the Rfam family "Bacterial small subunit ribosomal RNA", at positions 28 to 507 of the family's 1533-position model. The record is from RNAcentral.
GACGAACGCUGGCGGCGUGCUUAACACAUGCAAGUCGAACGGAAAGGCCCCUUUGGGGGUACUCGAGUGGCGAACGGGUGAGUAACACGUGAGUAACCUGCCCUUGACUUCGGGAUAACUUCAGGAAACUGGGGCUAAUACCGGAUAGGAAUCCUUGCUGCAUGGUGGGGGUUGGAAAGCUUCGGCGGUUUUGGAUGGACUCGCGGCUUAUCAGCUUGUUGGUGGGGUAGUGGCUUACCAAGGCUUUGACGGGUAGCCGGCCUGAGAGGGCGACCGGCCACAUUGGGGACGGGGUAAGGCCCAGACUCCUAAGGGAGGCAGCAGUGGGGAAUAUUGCACAAUGGGCGGAAGCCUGAUGCAGCAACGCCGCGUGCGGGAUGACGGCCUUCGGGUUGUAAACCGCUUUCAGCAGGGGCGAAGCUUGUGGUGACGGUACCUGCAGAAGAAGCACCGGCUAACUACGUG